UUGGAGGGCAAGUCUGGUGCCAGCAGCCGCGGUAAUUCCAGCUCCAAUAGCGUAUAUUAAAGUUGCUGCAGUUAAAAAGCUCGUAGUUGAAUUUCGGGACCAUCAUGUCGGUCGUGCCUCGGUACGUACUGGUAUUGUUGGUUUCUCCCCUCUGACGAACCAUGAUGUCAUUUAUUUGGUGUUGUGGGGAAUCAGGACUGUUACUUUGAAAAAAUUAGAGUGUUUAAAGCAGGCUCACGCUUGAAUACAUUAGCAUGGAAUAAUGAAAUAGGACGUUUGAUUCUAUUUUGUUGGUUUCUAGGAUCGACGUAAUGAUUAAUAGGGAUAGUUGGGGGCAUUAGUAUUCAAUUGUCAGAGGUGAAAUUCUUGGAUUUAUUGAAGACUAACUACUGCGAAAGCAUUUGCCAAGGAUGUUUUCAUUAAUCAAGAACGAAAGUUAGGGGAUCGAAGACGAUCAGAUACCGUCGUAGUCUUAACCAUAAACUAUGCCGACUAGGGAUCGGAUGAUGUUAAUUUUUUAAUGACUCAUUCGGCGCCUUACGGGAAAC
Molecule: ribosomal RNA, 548 nt
Filed under: uncultured Glomeraceae
Lineage: Eukaryota; Fungi; Glomeromycota; Glomeromycetes; Glomerales; Glomeraceae
Description: SSU rRNA
Rfam family: Eukaryotic small subunit ribosomal RNA
Source: RNAcentral